UACGAAGGGGGCGAGCGUUGUUCGGAUUUACUGGGCGUAAAGGGCGCGCAGGCGGCUCAUUUUGUCAGGCGUGAAAGCCCCGGGCUUAACCUGGGAGGUGCGUUUGAUACGGAUGGGCUAGAGUUCGGGAGAGGAGAGUGGAAUUCCCAGUGUAGAGGUGAAAUUCGUAGAUAUUGGGAAGAACACCGGUGGCGAAGGCGGCGACCUGGUCCGACACUGACGCUGAGGCGCGAAAGCGUGGGGAGCAAACAGG
Molecule: ribosomal RNA, 253 nt
Filed under: uncultured bacterium
Lineage: Bacteria
Description: partial 16S ribosomal RNA
Rfam family: Bacterial small subunit ribosomal RNA
Source: RNAcentral